UCCACUGCUUGCUCCAGUAACCCUGCCUUACAGCUACACACUGGGCCGGGCUGCUGAUUUACUCAUUUCCUCUCCAAACUUCCUCUCCUACCACCCUGCUUUACAGGCACGUCUGACCAGAGAGUAUUCAGCUUCAACGCUAGACCCUGACCACUGACAACGUACGGGACAGCAGCUGUUAUCUGCGACGCGGAGGACCCGUCUCAGCAACACGCCUGCCCAAAGCUUGAGCCGUGGCUCUUUGUGACAGUUCCUGUCUAAAGAGAUCUCCCUUGGAAGAAACAGCUGAUUUGAGAAGGCACUCCUCUGCCUGUCCAAAGGAAGAAGGGCAAGAAGCCACUCUCGGUAUCAAACUGACCAUUCCUGGAUGGAGUGGGCACCUGCCUUAGCAAAGCAGCAACGGGGAUCCUCACAUGGAGAUGAGGAGAUUCCACUGUGAAACUACUCCAGAUUUUCCAUCAAAGCUCAUUUUAAGGAUUUAUAACUUGGACGGAGACAUUCUUUCCACACUGCGAUUUGGCAUUAAAGAACUUGGCCCAAGGAUCAAAAUAACCCUCUUUUCCAGCACUUCUUUUUAAGUGUGGGAAGGCAAAUUUCUGAUAUAUAAAGACACAAAAAUAUUAGGACAUACUUUUGUUCUUUUCUUGUGAGAAAACAGUGGCAAAUAAGACCUCAACUAACUUUAAAUAUAAAGCCUCAUCUAGCUUGUACUUUCUGAGGCUUAGAAACUGAUUUGAAUUGUCUGGUUUCCUUUCAUGUGGAAGAAUAGCUUUGCAAAUCAAAGUAAACCAAAUAAACUGUUUGCUUUCUGAGCUACAUAUUUUAUGACAAGAUGCUUUAAUUCCUGCUUAAAUUUUCUCUGGGCUUGGAUGCUUAAAAGUUGUUUGUCACCAACUCUAUGAUUUUAAUAUCAAUAAAUGUGUGGCACACAUUCAGCACACCAGUGAGGUGAUAAAGCAAACACAAUAUUAAUACUAAGUAAACACAUUAAAGUUUUUGAGCAUAAGUGA
Molecule: non-coding RNA, 1010 nt
Organism: Phalacrocorax carbo (great cormorant)
Lineage: Eukaryota; Metazoa; Chordata; Aves; Suliformes; Phalacrocoracidae
Source: RefSeq, a predicted model, not a curated record